RNAcentral lists this ribosomal RNA (405 nucleotides) under uncultured bacterium. RNAcentral describes it as "partial 16S ribosomal RNA". It matches the Rfam family "Bacterial small subunit ribosomal RNA", at positions 30 to 526 of the family's 1533-position model. The record is from RNAcentral.
AUUGAACGCUGGCGGCAGGCCUAACACAUGCAAGUCGAACGAGUGGCGGACGGGUGAGUAAUGUCUGGGAAACUGCCCGAUGGAGGGGGAUAACUACUGGAAAGGUAGCUAAUACCGCAUACUAUUGGAGCGGCCGAUAUCGGAUUAGCUAGUUGGUGGGGUAACGGCUCACCAAGGCGACGAUCCGUAGCUGGUUUGAGAGGACGACCAGCCACACUGGGACUGAGACACGGCCCAGACUCCUACGGGAGGCAGCAGUGGGGAAUUUUGGACAAUGGGGGAAACCCUGAUCCAGCCAUCCCGCGUGUGCGAUGAAGGCCUUCGGGUUGUAAAGCACUUUUGGCAGGAAAGCGGUACCUGCAGAAUAAGCACCGGCUAACUACGUGCCAGCAGCCGCGGUAAUAC